RNAcentral lists this unclassified non-coding RNA (3345 nucleotides) under Hevea brasiliensis (rubber tree). The record is from RNAcentral. Lineage: Eukaryota; Viridiplantae; Streptophyta; Magnoliopsida; Malpighiales; Euphorbiaceae.
UGCCAGCAAGUUCGACGCUAAGUGAGUGCUUUGGAUUUUUGAAUCAUACGAUGGAAUGCCGAUUUGCAAUCUCUUUCAAUAAAUUUGAUUUUGAAUUUUGGAUUUGUGGUUAGGUUGAAGGUAAAUGGUGCAGGCGGCGGCCAAAAAGCGUCGAAGAAGGCGGGGAAGGACCCCAACAAGCCAAAGAGGCCUGCAAGUGCUUUCUUCGUUUUCAUGUAACGGGAUUUUCUUAAAUCUUAAGAAUCAUUCUCAACAUAUAUGUAUUUGCCAUUUUUGUUAAUUAUUUUUAAUUUUUAUAAAAGGGAGGAAUUUAGGCAGGAGUAUAAGGAGAAGCAUCCUAACAAUAAAUCUGUAGCCGUUGUGAGUAAUUUAAUUUAAUUUUGCUUUUUUCAUUAAUGUUGAAAAUGACAGUUUUUGUUAUCGUUUUCUUUUCAAAUCGGCGUAAUGUGUUUGAAAUGAAUCAGGUCGGAAAGGCUGGUGGAGAUAAGUGGAAAUCUAUGUCAGAGGCUGAGAAAGCUCCAUAUGUUGCAAAAGCAGAGAAAGGGAAGAAUGAAUACAAUAAAAACAUGGAAGCUUACAAUAAAAGAAUGGGCAAUGGUGGAAAUGCUGAUGAAGAAUCUGACAAGUCUAAAUCUGAAGUGCAUGAUGAGGAGGAAGAAGAAGAUUAGUAAUGGGAGGAACUACUUGUGUAGAAUUUGCUUAUAGAGAUACAACUUUGUUUUGGCAUCACCUAACUUAAACAAGACAAGUAGUAAAAUGUCUUGACACGCUCACAAAGUACAUGGAGAUCAUAUGCGGAAAAGGAUACCUGCAAUUUCCUCACGUUCUCAUGCAACUUGCUUUCAGCCAUUUUUGCAGCACUUGUCUCCUGCAGCCAAAGACAAAAGAGUGAUGCUACUGUACCCUUAUGUAAUUGAAAGGUGAGGAAAGCUUUGUGAACAUAAGAAAUAAUCAUUAUCGACAUCGUGCAGUGCAUACAGUGGAAGCCCUUUUUUUCUGGCUUAGCUUGAAUCCUACCAAGUUUACUGAUAUUUCUUUUGUGGCAAAGAGUUUACCAUUGUUUCAGGUAAAGAUUCAUGUUCUGAAUUUUUAAGAAAUCAUAGUAUCUCGUGUGCAUGUGCAUGGAAGGGCAGUCUGGACACGAAACAUUAUGGUAUAUGUUGAUUAACGCAGAGCGAUUCUUCUGCCAAAGAAAUUAUCUAUUAUAGUAACAAAAAACAUAUCACAAAAAGUAAGCAUAAAUAAUACUUACGCUAGAUGAAGAAAACCCAUAUUUCUUCUUGAUUUGAUCAACGGCACCAGCCUUCUCAUCCUGUUCCUCUUCCUUGAUGUUUUUUUCAUUCUUAACCUUCAUAUGUUUUAUUUUCCCUAGAAGUUUGCUUGCCAAUUUCUGCUUAUUAAGAGCUGCCAAGAUAUUCUGAUCCUUGGGUCUCUCUUCAUGUUCAUCAAGGUCAAUAUCAUCUUUCAGACCAGAAAUCAAAAACAAAAUGAACAACCAUGUGACUGAUUAUUGCAAUAGUGCCUUGAAUAUGGAAGAAGCUAAAAUAAUGGGGAUAAUAGAUUGAGACUUAAGAGUGAACUAAGCUACUUUUGAAAAUUUUAAUCAUAAUUCCAACUAUGAACUCCUAAGUGCCAGCGUCAGCAUAACAAAUAUUCUGUUAAUUCACAUAGGGAUGGCAUGAAGCACCACAUCACAAUGAAAUCCAUGGGCAAAGAUAUUUGCAUAUAAUAUCCAUAAAGAACAUACACACCUAUGUCCAAGUCAUUCCCAUCUGUGUCUAUGACAAUGCUAUUGCUAUUUUCAGCAUUACAAGCAAAGUUAGCUGUUGAAAAGAUCAUUGAAAGUUCUUCAAUACUUUCUUUUGUAUCCUCUGUUUCCACCUCAGAAACUUGCUUUGGUUUACUUCCUUUGAUAUCCUUAAUCACAGAGCCAAAUAUACCCUUUUUCUUUUCCUUUUGUGCCAUAGCUCCAGAGGCAAACCCUUCUUGUAAUGGCAUUAGAUCUCUUCUAUAGACUUGGCUGAAACAGUCCAAAAACCUGAAGUGUUCAUUUUGAAGCAAAACUGAUACCAAAAACAUUUCUUGAUCACCAUUCACCAUAACAAGUUCUCCAUCAUGUGAACAACAUAUUGAACUAUCUGGCAAGGAGUUCAGCUUUGGUGAAGCAUAAGUGAAACCUCUCAUUGAGGAUUCCCUUAUUAAUGAUAAGUCUGGCAGAGACCUUAUUUCAAUUUUCCCAGUAGUGAAAAGGAGCAAAAGGCCAACAUCUGAUGCACCACAAAAUACUGAAGCCCAGCAACAUAAAGAGGAAUGGAACUUCUUUUUGUAGUAAACCUUCUUGACUCCCUGAACAGCAUGGUUUAAUGAAUAGACAUACACGGCUUUCUCAGAACAUAUAAGUAGAGAAGACUGCUUUGGUGAAUCCUCAACAGGAUUCCCUUUGCUCAGAUCUGAACCAUUUGACACAUUUGAUCCUCCAGCUAACACAUCCUGCUGGCCCAAAAUCUGCAUAAAUAAAGCCUUAGAUGGUUUCUUAGGAUGCACUGUGCUAGUGCUCAGCAUGUUUCCAGUAUUGACAUCAACAGCCAAAACCGAUGAAUCCUUUGUUGCUACCACUAAAGCAUUCUUCUCAAAACCAUGCAGAUUGCAGGUCUCAAACUGCAGAGAGAUGAUUCCAGUGGAAAUUUCACUUGCAAUAUGUUUUUGAUACAGCAGUGUUGGUCCUUCUACAUCAAUUAGUGAAACAUAUCCUUGAUCAGACCCGACUGCAAGAUGUCCUGAGUUGUGGCUUAUGUUCAUAGAAAGUACAGAACCAUUUACCUUCACAAGUUUGAGACUCUGGAUGAUAUGGUGGUUUCCUCUUUUGGAACUUCCUGGGAAAGACAUAAAACUGUUCUCUGUGGCAUAUGGCUCAGGUUUAAAUUUAAAAAUGCGAACCAUUCCACUCUGAUCCCCUGAAAUAAGAAUCCGAGAAUUGCCAUCAAAAUACAAGGCCGUUAGUGCUAUACCACUUAAAGAAAAAUCAUCUUCACUCUGUUGUUUUAACGAUACAAUGGGAAUAAAAAAUGGACAAGAUGCAUGCCAAAAAUUAAUGGCUCCAUCACUAUGUCCAGUUAUGUACAGGUUUUUAAUCUUUGCAAACCCACUGAAGGGGACAGGAUUUGCGGGAGUUCCAUCUUUUGUGUUUGCUUCAAAAGGAAAAAGAGAUGGAGUGUUUUUGGAAAAGAGAAUGUAAUCCUUAUCUCCAAAACUCAACAUACAAGGGUUCUGAGUGAUGAAUUUUGCUACAGUUAUGCUUGAGUCAGCAAAUGGCAUCUUCACCAUGACCUGCUUUGGUAACGAGGG